Long non-coding RNA from Puntigrus tetrazona (Sumatra barb), 515 nucleotides. RefSeq lists it as uncharacterized. NCBI's taxonomy places the organism in Eukaryota, Metazoa, Chordata, Actinopteri, Cypriniformes, Cyprinidae. The record is from RefSeq and is a predicted model, not a curated record. The transcript is spliced from 3 exons.
AAUAUCACCAUGACCUGCACAGGCUAAACGCUAAACGUUUUUAUAAACAUGCCUUAGAUAAAAAAAUACAUUAUAGUGUACUUCUUAAGACAAAACGAAGGCAAUGGCGUGUUUUAAAAUCAGUCGGUGCGAGUUGAAAUAGCUCAGAUUUAAGCCUUGUCUGUGAAACUAUGUAAUCUAAACAUCAACACUGAGAUAAAAUGCUGACCCAUAAAGAGGAUAUAAUGACUGUCAAGCUUUGGGAUGUGUUCCAGCUUUAUGCAUUGCUUUAUCAAACGUGGCACCGACACGCUUGGGAUUAUCACCCGUGGUCAGAGGUGUCCCAAACCUGUCCUGUUUGGACUUCCCUAUGCCCUUGACCCCUUGAUCCCUCAAAACUGCUAUGCAUAAGGUUGCAUUCGACUGAGCUGUUCAUCACCAGAACAGACAAGAGACCCGGCGGAGGUUUGAAAGUUUCCCACAUGUCAAAUCAAAACGCGGAGGUGAAUGCAGGUGAUUGAGAUCGUGACGCAAAU